GACGAACGCUGGCGGCGUGCUUAACACAUGCAAGUCGAACGGAAAGGCCUAGCUUGCUGGGUACUCGAGUGGCGAACGGGUGAGUAACACGUGGGUGAUCUGCCCCUGACUUUGGGAUAAGCCUGGGAAACUGGGUCUAAUACCGGAUAUUCAUUUUUCCUCGCAUGGGGAUUUGUGGAAAGCUUUUGCGGUUGGGGAUGGGCCCGCGGCCUAUCAGCUUGUUGGAGGGGUAAUGGCCUACCAAGGCGACGACGGGUAGCCGACCUGAGAGGGUGAUCGGCCACACUGGGACUGAGACACGGCCCAGACUCCUACGGGAGGCAGCAGUGGGGAAUAUUGCACAAUGGGCGCAAGCCUGAUGCAGCGACGCCGCGUGAGGGAUGACGGCCUUCGGGUUGUAAACCUCUUUCAGCUCCGACGAAGCGCAAGUGACGGUAGGAGCAGAAGAAGCACCGGCCAACUACGUG
RNAcentral lists this ribosomal RNA (467 nucleotides) under uncultured bacterium. Its description in RNAcentral is "partial 16S ribosomal RNA". It matches the Rfam family "Bacterial small subunit ribosomal RNA", at positions 28 to 507 of the family's 1533-position model. The record is from RNAcentral.